CACGUAGGGGGCAAGCGUUGUUCGGAAUCAUUGGGCGUAAAGGGCGCGUAGGCGGCCUGUCAAGUCGGGUGUGAAAUCCCUCGGCUCAACCGAGGAACCGCACUCGAUACUGUCGGGCUGGAGUCCGGGAGGGGAUGGUGGAAUUCCCAGUGUAGCGGUGAAAUGCGUAGAUAUUGGGAAGAACACCGGUGGCGAAGGCGGCCAUCUGGACCGGUACUGGCGCUGAGGCGCGAAAGCUAGGGGAGCGAAUGGG
This 253-nucleotide ribosomal RNA is filed under the name uncultured bacterium. Its description in RNAcentral is "partial 16S ribosomal RNA". It matches the Rfam family "Bacterial small subunit ribosomal RNA", at positions 524 to 776 of the family's 1533-position model. The record is from RNAcentral.